GGAUGAGUCACAAGAUGCGACCCCCUCCAUAGCCCACCCGAAAUUGGAGGAGGGCAACGAAGAGCUGCCGAGAAUCCGAGUGGGGGAGGGAAGAGAUGGAGUGGCGAACAAGACAUGGGAUUCCAACAGGAGCAGUAGAGCUGGUAGUGUGAACACCAGGGAAGCUCUCCUGAAAUGCAGGGGGGCUGGUGUGUGGCUUCUCCUGACUUCUCCAUCCCUGGCCCUGCAAUCAAGCAUGGGAGCCAGGAGUCCCAGAAGCCCUAUAGUGCCGUGGGGUAAGUGCCCAGACUCUGGAACCAGGCUGACUGGGUUUGCAUCCCACCUCUACCACUUACCAGCUGUGUGACUACAGCGCUUGGCUUUGCUCUCCUGUGUGGACUUCAUUCUUGGGAUCUACAUGAAAGCAAGAUAUCUGCCAGCAUCUCUAGGCCAACAUACUCUGUGGUCGGAGUCCCACAGAAAAGAAGAGAGCUUCUCUUCCCCAGUGCAGCCAGUCAGCAUCCUGGCUGGUUCUCAUUGGCCUGGUUUGGGACCCCUGCUAAGCUCGGAAUCAGUCGCUGAAGACAGGGGGACACAGUGCUCUGACUGGCUAAGGCUGAGUCACUUGCCUACCCCCAGAACUGGAAGUCCGUAGGAGCAGCUGCUGCCGCCACCACUAGAACCACCACCACUGCUGCUCUGCAGGAAGCCAGGAGCUCACACUCUUGCCGAUGCUGCAGUCUGGAAGUCUGAAGUCCCUUGCUGUUGUUGUUGUCACCGCCAGAGCUAGAGUUCAUGAACAUCACGCUGCUGAGGCUCCUGGAGUGCCUGCUGCCGCCACCACCUCUGGAAGAGGACAGCUUGAGCUGGAACCCAGGAGCCUGCACCCACCCGUUGUUUUUACUGCUGUGGCAGCUGCUGCUCCUACCACUGCUGGUGACUGCCUUCCAAACUCCCACCAGUGCCAAUCAUUGGCAAAAGCUAAUGGGAAGCCAGUUGAUAAAGGAAUGUGAGAAAUGCAGCUUAUAGGCUUCCAGCCCCUUGCUGUACACAGCAGAGGAUGAGAAUAGAGCUCACCGCAAGCAGCUGACCCAUAAAGUGUGUUGUCUGCCUCAGUGCUGCAGUGGGGCAGGACAAUGUGGGGAAAAGCGUUGGGGAGAAAAGAAGUGGUGGCGAUGCCAAUUGGAGAGAAGUAAGCACAUGAUCGAAGGGCCAGAGAUAGAGCCAGAAAAUGUGAAGUGACAACAAAAGAGGGCCCCUGGAAAGUGGUCACAGAUUUCAGAUGUUUCCAGAGAACAGAGAUGUUAUCAGAGGGCCCUUGAUGCGGAAGAGGAGGAGGGGAAGAAGUGGAAGGAAGAUUCUGAGAGCAAAGAUGCACCCAGAAAAUGCUCUGGACACCCCAUGGCCAGUCAAGUUGAUGCGUGAAAUUAACCACCGUGAAGACCAACAUGGUGACUCCUCUUGCAGUUUAUGGUCAAACAGGAGCAACAGACACAGAAAGUAAACCAACAACUAUGCAAUCACACAGUUAUUGCAACAUGCCAUGAGGGAAAAGAACAGGGUGCUGAGAUGAAAUAAGGGGGCACUGAAUUUGAUGCCAGAUUGGAGGUGUGUGGGAAUGCCUCCAAGAAGACGACGUCUGAAAGAUUGGAAGUGGCCAGCCAGGUGAAGGAAGAGGACCAGUGUCUAGGCCAAGGGACUGCAUGGGCAGAGAUCCCGAGGUGAGAAGAGCGGCUCAUCACACGAGCUCAGGAAGACCGUGGCUGGAGGGAUGUGAGUUCACUGAGAGAAGACUGUGGCUAGGAGUUCAGAUUUUAUCCUAAGUGCCAACAGACUGUUUUGUGGCUGGGGGCCUGGCCCAUACAACCCCCCCAGGCAUAAUCCUUUCCCUCUCCAUCUAUCAGCUGGAUGGGAAGGACUUCAAGGACCUAGAAGAAGGCAAAACCCGAAGGUGGAAGAAGUCCAGGUCUCUGAAUGACUGUGUAGGGCAAAACCCUCACCAACCUGCAUCGAACUGUGACACGAAUGAGAAA
This 2012-nucleotide long non-coding RNA is filed under the name Equus asinus (donkey). RNAcentral describes it as "lncRNA (ENSEASG00005034611.1)". Lineage: Eukaryota; Metazoa; Chordata; Mammalia; Perissodactyla; Equidae. The record is from RNAcentral.